This 431-nucleotide ribosomal RNA is filed under the name uncultured bacterium. Its description in RNAcentral is "partial 16S ribosomal RNA". It matches the Rfam family "Bacterial small subunit ribosomal RNA", at positions 29 to 505 of the family's 1533-position model. The record is from RNAcentral.
AACGAACGCUGGCGGCAUGCCUAACACAUGCAAGUCGAACGAGACCUUCGGGUCUAGUGGCGCACGGGUGCGUAACGCGUGGGAACCUGCCUUUAGGUUCGGGAUAACUCAGAGAAAUUUGAGCUAAUACCGGAUGAUGUCUUCGGACCAAAGAUUUAUCGCCUUUAGAUGGGCCCGCGUUGGAUUAGCUAGUUGGUGGGGUAAAGGCCUACCAAGGCGACGAUCCAUAGCUGGUCUGAGAGGAUGAUCAGCCACACUGGGACUGAGACACGGCCCAGACUCCUACGGGAGGCAGCAGUGGGGAAUAUUGGACAAUGGGCGAAAGCCUGAUCCAGCAAUGCCGCGUGAGUGAUGAAGGCCUUAGGGUUGUAAAGCUCUUUUACCCGAGAUGAUAAUGACAGUAUCGGGAGAAUAAGCUCCGGCUAACUCCG